RNAcentral lists this ribosomal RNA (588 nucleotides) under uncultured bacterium. RNAcentral's name for it is "partial 16S ribosomal RNA". It matches the Rfam family "Bacterial small subunit ribosomal RNA", at positions 355 to 937 of the family's 1533-position model. The record is from RNAcentral.
UGGGGAAUUUUGGACAAUGGGCGAAAGCCUGGUCCAGCAAUGCCGCGUGUGUGAAGAAGGCAUUCGGGUUGUAAAGCACUUUUGUCCGGAAAGAAAUCCUUGGCUCUAAUACAGUCGGGGGGAUGACGGUACCGGAAGAAUAAGCACCGGCUAACUACGUGCCAGCAGCCGCGGUAAUACGUAGGGUGCAAGCGUUAAUCGGAAUUACUGGGGCGUAAAGCGUGCGCAGGCGGUUUGCUAAGACCGAUGUGAAAUCCCCGGGCUCAACCUGGGAACUGCAUUGGUGACUGGCAGGCUAGAGUAUGGCAGAGGGGGGUAGAAUUCCACGUGUAGCAGUGAAAUGCGUAGAGAUGUGGAGGAAUACCGAUGGCGAAGGCAGCCCCCUGGGCCAAUACUGACGCUCAUGCACGAAAGCGUGGGGGAGCAAACAGGAUUAGAUACCCUGGUAGUCCACGCCCUAAACGAUGUCAACUAGUUGUUGGGGAUUCAUUUCCUUAGUAACGUAGCUAACGCGUGAAGUUGACCGCCUGGGGAGUACGGUCGCAAAGAUUAAAACUCAAAGGAAUUGACGGGGUCAUAGCUGUUUCC